CCAGCCUGGCAGAUCUGGCCACAGGCGUCCACAUGGGUGAGGGGGACUAGCCUGGAGGGACUUCGAGUCACAGGACCCUCUGGGCUUCCUGGCUCGCGCCGCUGCCUCGCCCGAGUCCGCCAGGGUCCCGCGGGCAGAGGAGCCUUUGGAGGCCGAGGCGUGCUGGUGUGGAUGCCGCCCCGCUGCCAGACCAAGUGCAUCAGCCUGGAAUCCAGGCCACCAUCCUGCAGGCGCUCCUCUCCCGCGUGUGGCCUGGAUCCUCUUGCUAAUCUGAGGGAGGAACUGGAGCUGAAGCUGGUGAGGGGCAGUGCUGGGCCAGACCACCUUCCUCAAUGUCACCAAGACUUCACAUGAGGCUGGGGAUGGAUGUGCUGCCCCUACUGGACAAGCUCCACAGUCUGUCUUCCCACCACUGAGUGGCAGAGGGCACAGUCCAGUAGUGUUAAGUACAUUCAUAUUGUUGUGCUGCCGUCACCACCAUCAUCUCCAUCACUGUUCUCAUCUUCUCCAACUGAAGCUUUGUCCCCACUAAACAACAACUCUGCAUCCACUCCCCCAUCCCUGGUCCCCUCCCUCUUACCUCUGUCUCUAUGACUCUGACAGCUCUUGGGACCUCAGGUGAGUGGAAUCACACAAUAUUUGUCCUUUUGUGAC
Long non-coding RNA from Myotis brandtii (Brandt's bat), 654 nucleotides. RefSeq lists it as uncharacterized. NCBI's taxonomy places the organism in Eukaryota, Metazoa, Chordata, Mammalia, Chiroptera, Vespertilionidae. The transcript has 3 exons. The record is from RefSeq and is a predicted model, not a curated record.